Zonotrichia leucophrys gambelii is the source of this 908-nucleotide long non-coding RNA. RefSeq lists it as uncharacterized. Lineage: Eukaryota; Metazoa; Chordata; Aves; Passeriformes; Passerellidae. The transcript has 6 exons. The record is from RefSeq and is a predicted model, not a curated record.
GGAGCUCUGAUUAAGAAGCAGCAACAAGCAGAGGAAGAAGUCUGUGCUGUGAGGAGCUGCCCAUGAAAAAUAUCACCGAGAAGAGGUGUUACCAGGCUCAACACCUUCCAUAUUGUCAUCUCUCAGUGACAGCACUGCUUUACUGAGCCUUUGCUCUGAGCUCCUCUGUCCCAGGGAAGGGCACCCCAGCAGAGGGAUGCUGUGGAUUUUGGGAGCUGUGAGUAUAUCCCAGGAGCCACAUCCCCAUGUCCUUCAGAAGAUUCACUAAGGUAAAAACUGUCUGGCUUAUUGUUACACCUGAACAAAUUCCAAGUAAAAGGCAUCUGAGGGAGGCCACAGCAGUCACCAAGGAUGUGCAGAUGAGAUGAUGGCAUACAGCUGGGAACUUCAAGCUGAGUUAGCACUGAAAAUUUGGAUCCUGCCAGUCCCAGACAGAGCAGCCUCAGCGUUUCAGGGCUCCUGGAGUGGUUUUGUGCUCGCAGUGGAGAGGGGUCCGGAGCAGAGCUGCAAUGGGUUCACACCACAUGCCAGAAAACUUCCCCUGGCCCCAUCCAGUGAACUUUGAACCUCCCAUAGCCCAGAUCAACACCUAAAAUCACUGCAAGAUUCCACAGUAGGAGAGCAAGAAGGACAAAGUGCAGAAACAGUUUGGUUCAGCUUUACAGGUAGAGAGAAUUCAUUAGCAAUUUAUCACAUUCCCUCCCUGCUCAUCCUCUCUAAUAUACCAUCGUGAUGGUGAAUGUCACUUGCUCAGGAAGGACAAGGAAGAAAUUGAGUUAUUCCAGUGGGGCUGGAGAACCGGCCAUGUUGAUGCAGCUCCAUCAGCAGGACAUUCCAAGGGCUUCUGUGGCUCAGAACAUCCUGGCUUCCACAGCUCUUUCUUAAUAAAGAGUAACAGACAUCUCAAA